CCUGUAGUGUCAUGUUGGAUAAGUGCAACAGGACCUUCAAAAUCAAUCAAAUAACGACACCUUAAAUCAGCAGUUUAAUUGGGAUUGAAACACGCCAAUUCUGACAUAUUGCCUUGAAAUUCUGCCUGUUAUCGUUGUCGAUUGGGACACAGUGUGUGACUUGAUUUAGGUUUAGUUCAGCCGUCCUGUUGCACUUAUCCAACAUGACACUAUAGGGCAGCGAACAUCCACAGAAGGAAGGCCUCGUCGAUGUUUCCUUCGCCGGGGAGGGUAUCCCAUAACACCUUGCGGCAAGUAGCGGAAAUAAUUUUAAAAAAUGUCUGAAUUAAUGGCGGACAAAGUCCCCGGUUGGGAGAAAAUGUUCCAGAGGAAUAGCGAAUAACUUUGUGAAAUGUUGAAGCACAUCCCUCCCCAUCACCCAGACAGAUGUAAAGAAGUUGGGAACCUCCGGUCCAACAGGCUUGGACAGGAUGCAGUUCAUCUGUCUAAUCCCCUGCGAGGAGAAACACAAUCAUGGUGGUAUCUGGGAGGUCUACCCGGGGG
Molecule: non-coding RNA, 543 nt
Organism: Salvelinus sp. IW2-2015
Lineage: Eukaryota; Metazoa; Chordata; Actinopteri; Salmoniformes; Salmonidae
Source: RefSeq, a predicted model, not a curated record